RNAcentral lists this transfer RNA (64 nucleotides) under Hydrothassa fairmairei. Its description in RNAcentral is "tRNA-Pro". Lineage: Eukaryota; Metazoa; Arthropoda; Insecta; Coleoptera; Chrysomelidae. The record is from RNAcentral.
CAAGAAUUAGUUUAAAAAAUAUUAAUUUUGGAGAUUAAAGUUAAAGAAGUUUCUUUAUUCUUGA